CUCUGUAAUUGGAAUGAUGGGAAUGUAAAACCCUUCCAGAGUAACAAUUGGAGGGCAAGUCUGGUGCCAGCAGCCGCGGUAAUUCCAGCUCCAAUAGUGUAUAUUAGAGUUGUUGCAGUUAAAAAGCUCGUAGUUGGAUUUCUGCUGUGGUCAUCCGGUACCGCCCGUAUGGGUGCGCACCUGGUUUGGCUGCGGCUUUCUUCCUGUAGCCGUCCGCGCUUAAUUGCGUGCGCUGUGUUACGGAACUUUUACUUUGAGAAAAAUAGAGUGUUUCAAGCAGGCUUGGCCGCCCUGAAUACUUCAGCAUGGAAUAUUAGGAUAGGACCUGGGUUCAUUUUUGUUGGUUUCUAGGACCAAGUUAAUGAUAAAUAGGAACAGUUGGGGG
RNAcentral lists this ribosomal RNA (385 nucleotides) under Eimeria crandallis. RNAcentral's name for it is "SSU rRNA". It matches the Rfam family "Eukaryotic small subunit ribosomal RNA", at positions 501 to 888 of the family's 1831-position model. The record is from RNAcentral. Lineage: Eukaryota; Apicomplexa; Conoidasida; Eucoccidiorida; Eimeriidae.